CGAUGUUCUCAACUGUCACACUUGUGCUGCUCGUGUCAUGCUGCGGCGUUGCGUUGAGUAGUUGGAUACCAUAUGGGAACUCGUAUUUGCCACAACAACCUGCUGGAAAGGGAGGGUAUUGGAACUCAUAUUUGCCGCAAUAUGAGAACUAUGGGCCACAACAAUAUCAAGGUUCCUAUUGGCCUGGACCAUGGGGCGGCUGGCGAGGAAAUAACGUCGGAUCGCAAGGUAAUUCCGUAAGCGGGUAUGGGAAUGCCGUAGGAUCGCAAGGGAAUAAUGUCGACGGAUAUGGGAAUGAUGUUGGCUGGCAAUGGAAUUCCGUGGACGGUAAAGGCAAUUACGUUGGCUCGCAAUGGAAUUCCGUGAACUGAGUACAGCUGAAAUGGAACACAAUACAGAACAACACGUACCAAAAAUGUUUUCUUUUGUUGACAAUACUUAAUAAAUAUUAUUCAGCAACGCUUACCU
Molecule: long non-coding RNA, 468 nt
Organism: Dreissena polymorpha
Lineage: Eukaryota; Metazoa; Mollusca; Bivalvia; Myida; Dreissenidae
Exons: 3
Source: RefSeq, a predicted model, not a curated record